CUAUUUUGGCAGCUGUCCUGGUGCUGUCUUACUUCUGCCUGUCACAUCAGAGUGUCAGGUACCAUGUCGCAUGAGAAAGGCUGAUUCAGGAGGAAUAGGCUUGGGUAGCUCUGACUUGUGGAGACUUUGGAGAAGGGAUGGAGGAGAUUUGAGAGCUAUACUCACUGGGAAACCUCACACUGCACUGAUGAGAGCAGAUGGCUCCUGCUCCUUGUGCACUACAACAUUACUGGCAAAUUGCAACAGGCCAUGAACUGAUCUUGUCAGCCGCAGUGAGACACAUCAGAAAAAUGUGUUUCUGUCCAGUGUGGAGAAUGGAGAGACCAGGAGUCCUGGGGUGACCUUUUGCCUUCCACAUAAGUUGGCCAGGAUGAGACUGAAGUUCAUUAAAAUCUGAAAAAAAAAAUCAGUUUCUAGAUUUCCAAGUGUUUCUAAACUGCACAGAAGCUGUAGUUGAACCUGGAUCAUAGCUGAGGGAAGAGGUUAGGCUCACAGUUCCCUGAAGAAAAAAGUUCAGAAUAUGAAAACUUGGUUGAAACAAACUGCUGUGCUUAGCAGUCCUGUGAGAGCCCAGAGAAAUGCAUGCACAGGGUCACUCCUGCACCUCCAGCUGCCUGUGAAGCUUUGUGUCAACACUGAUUAUCCCAAGAGUUUGUCCCAUGUGAUCAGCUUCUGCCAGACCUGCCACAGGAAUUUCUAGGGUUCUCCAUGUGCUCCAGAAACAUGGAUUUAUGGAAGACUUUGUUCAGUCCUGACAUGCUGUGAGGAAACCAGGAGUUAGUAUAGAUCUAUAAACAUGCUCAGAGGGAGCAAUUACUUCUGGCAUGUGAAUGAUAGGAUCAAUAUGCACACAUUCUAUA
Molecule: long non-coding RNA, 860 nt
Organism: Passer domesticus (house sparrow)
Lineage: Eukaryota; Metazoa; Chordata; Aves; Passeriformes; Passeridae
Exons: 2
Source: RefSeq, a predicted model, not a curated record